This 542-nucleotide long non-coding RNA is filed under the name Phasianus colchicus (ring-necked pheasant). Its description in RNAcentral is "lncRNA (ENSPCLG00000004220.1)". The record is from RNAcentral. Lineage: Eukaryota; Metazoa; Chordata; Aves; Galliformes; Phasianidae.
CAGAUUUCAUGCUGGGAUAAUAGGCUCUCUGAAAAUUCUAGAACUGAGAAGUGCCCAGUUCUUUCUCCUUUGAGAUCAUUGAAGAGAAGAAGAUUCCUUCAGGGAGCAAUGAAGCAUAGGUUUGAACUCUGGUGAAAUCUCUCCGUGAAAUCUCUCCUUUCAGUGUUGAUGGGGACGUGAGGAGGCAAGCCUAAUGCUAGCCUUUAUGUCUGCUUCUCAAGGCAUCAAGCUGACUUGAGCAAGGCAAGUAAAAGGAAAGAACAGGAAGUGCAGGAAGCCAGAAGCACAAUUUUAGAUCAAGUACUCUCUUCAUCACUUGGCAUAAGGACUGCUCUCAAAAAAAUGUGCAGCUUCCACUCAGUGCUUACUUGAGUGCAUCCUGCUACUGUAGCAACGAAGGCCCUAUCUCACAAAACAAACCCCACUGAAGGUACAUGUGUAACCUGAAUGCAAGGAUAACAGAGCACUGUGCUGAGAUUUUUUUAACUGGCAGUUAUGGGAAGGGACUUCAACUUCAGUGGCCUUGAUCCAUCACAUCCAAG